This 336-nucleotide long non-coding RNA is filed under the name Gossypium barbadense (sea-island cotton). Its description in RNAcentral is "long non-coding RNA (GBAR_LNC018736)". Lineage: Eukaryota; Viridiplantae; Streptophyta; Magnoliopsida; Malvales; Malvaceae. The record is from RNAcentral.
CACACAAGAAUUGCCUAUGGACUAUUAUAUUGGCUUUCACUCUUUCUAGGAAACAAAUCUGUACAGCACAAACCUGAAGCAGAACCUUUUGAGAUAGCUUUGAUGGAUUUGGCUCCCAUAAAAAGGUAAAUCUACUGUUGAUGUUCUACUAUCAAGAAAUAUAUAUGGGGUUCCUUUUGCAGGGAAAUCUUUCUACGAAUCUGAUGGCUUUCUUGUUAAACAGUACAAAGUUUAUGCAUCAGAGAAGAUUUGGCCUGCACCAGAUUAAACCAAAUCGAAUAAAUUAUAACAUUGGGAGGUUCUCACCUUAACACAGAUAGAAAGCAUUAGUUGUAC